RNAcentral lists this ribosomal RNA (253 nucleotides) under uncultured bacterium. RNAcentral's name for it is "partial 16S ribosomal RNA". It matches the Rfam family "Bacterial small subunit ribosomal RNA", at positions 524 to 776 of the family's 1533-position model. The record is from RNAcentral.
GACAGAGGUGCCAAGCGUUGGGCGGAAUCACUGGGCUUAAAGCGUGUGUAGGCGGAUCGUUAAGUGCCUUGUGAAAUCCCACGGCUUAACCGUGGAACUGCUCGGCAUACUGGCGGUCUUGAGCCAGCUAGGGGCUACCGGAACAAAUGGUGGAGCGGUGAAAUGCGUAGAUAUCAUUUGGAACGCCAAUGGUGAAAACAGGUAGCUGGGGCUGUGCUGACGCUGAGACACGAAAGCCAGGGGAGCGAACGGG